GAAAAAUUUCAGAAAUUUAAAAAAAAAUAUUCAAGUUUUCUUCUCCAGUUACAAUCUCAAUCAAUACUAGUCAGAGUUGAGUUACAUCUGUGAAUGAUCCGCCCAAGCAAACAUCAAAAUCCCAAAAGUGGAGGAAGAGGUUAAUCACUAAGCAGGGGAACC
Long non-coding RNA from Telopea speciosissima, 162 nucleotides. RefSeq lists it as uncharacterized. NCBI's taxonomy places the organism in Eukaryota, Viridiplantae, Streptophyta, Magnoliopsida, Proteales, Proteaceae. The transcript has 3 exons. The record is from RefSeq and is a predicted model, not a curated record.